UACGGAGGAUGCAAGCGUUAUCCGGAAUGAUUGGGCGUAAAGCGUCCGCAGGUGGCUGUGUAAGUCUGCUGUUAAAGAGUGAGGCUCAACCUCAUAAAGGCAGUGGAAACUACAUGGCUAGAGUGCGUUCGGGGCAGAGGGAAUUCCUGGUGUAGCGGUGAAAUGCGUAGAGAUCAGGAAGAACACCGGUGGCGAAAGCGCUCUGCUAGGCCGCAACUGACACUGAGGGACGAAAGCUAGGGGAGUGAAUGGG
RNAcentral lists this ribosomal RNA (253 nucleotides) under uncultured bacterium. RNAcentral describes it as "partial 16S ribosomal RNA". It matches the Rfam family "Bacterial small subunit ribosomal RNA", at positions 524 to 776 of the family's 1533-position model. The record is from RNAcentral.